GGCGGCGUGCUUAACACAUGCAAGUCGAACGAUGAACCGGUUUCGGCCGGGGAUUAGUGGCGAACGGGUGAGUAACACGUGGGCAAUCUGCCCUGCACUCUGGGACAAGCCCUGGAAACGGGGUCUAAUACCGGAUAUGACGCGUUCCCGCAUGGAUACGUGUGGAAAGCUCCGGCGGUGCAGGAUGAGCCCGCGGCCUAUCAGCUUGUUGGUGGGGUGAUGGCCUACCAAGGCGACGACGGGUAGCCGGCCUGAGAGGGCGACCGGCCACACUGGGACUGAGACACGGCCCAGACUCCUACGGGAGGCAGCAGUGGGGAAUAUUGCACAAUGGGCGCAAGCCUGAUGCAGCGACGCCGCGUGAGGGAUGACGGCCUUCGGGUUGUAAACCUCUUUCAGCAGGGAAGAAGCGUGAGUGACGGUACCUGCAGAAGAAGCGCCGGCUAACUACGUGCCAGCAGCCGCGGUAAUACGUAGGGCGCAAGCGUUGUCCGGAAUUAUUGGGCGUAAAGAGCUCGUAGGCGGCUUGUCGCGUCGGAUGUGAAAGCCCGGGGCUUAACUCCGGGUCUGCAUUCGAUACGGGCAGGCUAGAGUUCGGUAGGGGAGAUCGGAAUUCCUGGUGUAGCGGUGAAAUGCGCAGAUAUCAGGAGGAACACCGGUGGCGAAGGCGGAUCUCUGGGCCGAUACUGACGCUGAGGAGCGAAAGCGUGGGGAGCGAACAGGAUUAGAUACCCUGGUAGUCCACGCCGUAAACGUUGGGAACUAGGUGUGGGCGACAUUCCACGUCGUCCGUGCCGCAGCUAACGCAUUAAGUUCCCCGCCUGGGGAGUACGGCCGC
RNAcentral lists this ribosomal RNA (838 nucleotides) under Streptomyces sp. IM-6885. RNAcentral's name for it is "bacterial SSU rRNA". It matches the Rfam family "Bacterial small subunit ribosomal RNA", at positions 38 to 889 of the family's 1533-position model. Lineage: Bacteria; Bacillati; Actinomycetota; Actinomycetes; Kitasatosporales; Streptomycetaceae. The record is from RNAcentral.